Molecule: ribosomal RNA, 466 nt
Filed under: uncultured bacterium
Lineage: Bacteria
Description: bacterial SSU rRNA
Rfam family: Bacterial small subunit ribosomal RNA
Source: RNAcentral
CCUACGGGCCGCACCAGUGGGGAAUAUCGGACAAUGGGGGGAACCCUGAUCCAGCCAUGCCGCGUGUGUGAAGAAGGCCUUAUGGUUGUAAAGCGCUUUAAGCGAGGAGGAGGCUACUAGUAUUAAUACUACUGGAUAGUGGACGUUACUCGCAGAAUAAGCACCGGCUAACUCUGUGCCAGCAGCCGCGGUAAUACAGAGGGUGCGAGCGUUAAUCGGAUUUACUGGGCGUAAAGCGUGCGUAGGCGGCCAUUUAAGUCAAAUGUGAGAUCACCGAGCUUAACUUGGGAAUUGCAUUCGAUACUGGAUGGCUAGAGUAUGGGAGAGGAUGGUAGAAUUCCAGGUGUAGCGCUGAAAUGCGUAGAGAUCUGGAGGAAUACCGAUGGCGAAGGCAGCCAUCUGGCCUAAUACUGACGCUGAGGUACGAAAGCAUGGGGAGCAAACAGGAUUAGAUACCCGUGUAGUC